This 253-nucleotide ribosomal RNA is filed under the name uncultured bacterium. Its description in RNAcentral is "partial 16S ribosomal RNA". It matches the Rfam family "Bacterial small subunit ribosomal RNA", at positions 524 to 776 of the family's 1533-position model. The record is from RNAcentral.
UACGUAGGGGGCAAGCGUUGUCCGGAAUCAUUGGGCGUAAAGCGCGUGUAGGCGGCCAGGUAAGUCCGUUCUGAAAGCCCGGGGCUCAACCCCGGGAGGCGGAUGGAUACUGCUUGGCUCGAGUCCGGAAGAGGCGAGUGGAAUUCCCGGUGUAGCGGUGAAAUGCGCAGAUAUCAGGAGGAACACCAAUAGCGAAGGCAGCUCGCUGGGACGUUACUGACACUGAGGCGCGAAAGCGUGGGGAGCAAACAGG